CCCUUAGAUGUUCUGGGCCGCACGCGCGCUACACUGACUGCUCCAACAAGUGUUACCAUGGCUGACAAGUCUUGGAAAUCUUGCAAAGGCAGUCGUGCUGGGGAUAGAUUAUUGUAAUUUUUAAUCUUCAACGAGGAAUUCCUAGUAAACGCAAGUCAUCAGCUUGCAUUGAUUACGUCCCUGCCCUUUGUACACACCGCCCGUCGCAUCUACCGAUUGAAUGGAGAGGCAAAAUCUUCGGACCGUGACGUUUGGGGGUCAAACCCCGGACAGUCGUGGGAAGUGGAUUAAACCUUNCNAUUUAGNGGAAGGUAAANUCGUANCA
This 325-nucleotide ribosomal RNA is filed under the name uncultured eukaryote. RNAcentral describes it as "partial 18S ribosomal RNA". It matches the Rfam family "Eukaryotic small subunit ribosomal RNA", at positions 1470 to 1796 of the family's 1831-position model. The record is from RNAcentral.